Non-coding RNA from Pelobates cultripes (western spadefoot toad), 309 nucleotides. The record is from the annotation of a GenBank genome assembly. NCBI's taxonomy places the organism in Eukaryota, Metazoa, Chordata, Amphibia, Anura, Pelobatidae.
GCGGUACAGACAGGUAGCUCCAUCCACUGGAAGUAACUAUGGCAGUCAGUAAGGAGAUAGCGGUACAGACAGGUAGCUCCAUCCAUUUGCAGUAACUAUGGCAGCCAGUAAGGAGAUAGCGGUACAGACAGGUAGCUCCGUCCAUUGGCAGUAACUAUGGCAGCCAGUAAGGAGAUAGCGGUACAGACAGGUAGCUCCACCCACUGGAAGUAACUAUGGCAGUCAGUAAGGAGAUAGCGGUACAGACAGGUAGCUCCAUCCAUUUGCAGUAACUAUGGCAGCCAGUAAGGAGAUAGCGGUACAGACAGG